This 445-nucleotide ribosomal RNA is filed under the name uncultured bacterium. RNAcentral's name for it is "bacterial SSU rRNA". It matches the Rfam family "Bacterial small subunit ribosomal RNA", at positions 28 to 461 of the family's 1533-position model. The record is from RNAcentral.
GAUGAACGCUAGCUACAGGCUUAACACAUGCAAGUCGAGGGGCAGCAUGGACUCAGCUUUGCUGAGUUUGAUGGCGACCGGCGCACGGGUGAGUAACGCGUAUCCAACCUGCCCUUUACUCCGGGAUAGUCUCCUGAAAGGGAGUUUAAUACCGGAUGUGUUUGUUUUUCCGCAUGGGAGCGACAAAUAAAGAUUAAUUGGUAAAGGAUGGGGAUGCGUCCCAUUAGCUUGUUGGCGGGGUAACGGCCCACCAAGGCAACGAUGGGUAGGGGUUCUGAGAGGAAGGUCCCCCACAUUGGAACUGAGACACGGUCCAAACUCCUACGGGAGGCAGCAGUGAGGAAUAUUGGUCAAUGGGCGAGAGCCUGAACCAGCCAAGUAGCGUGAAGGACGACGGCCCUACGGGUUGUAAACUUCUUUUAUAAGGGAAUAAAGUUCGCCACGU